This is a non-coding RNA of Caenorhabditis elegans, 150 nucleotides long. NCBI's taxonomy places the organism in Eukaryota, Metazoa, Nematoda, Chromadorea, Rhabditida, Rhabditidae. The record is from Ensembl.
GACCAUGGAAUGGAAGGAGUGAUAUAGAACCUAAAUCAAAUAUUCGAAGGUAUAUAUGUUCAUUUAUUAUUAAAAAUUAAAGGAUUAAAGGACGAUCCGUUCUUCAAGUGCUAUGCACUGCGGAUAAGAGCUUUUGAGAAAAUCCAAAAC